CCUACGGGCGGCUGCAGUGAGGAAUAUUGGUCAAUGGACGAGAGUCUGAACCAGCCAAGUAGCGUGAAGGAUGACUGCCCUAUGGGUUGUAAACUUCUUUUAUAUGGGAAUAAAAUGUUCCACGUGUGGGAUUUUGUAUGUACCAUAUGAAUAAGGAUCGGCUAACUCCGUGCCAGCAGCCGCGGUAAUACGGAGGAUCCGAGCGUUAUCCGGAUUUAUUGGGUUUAAAGGGAGCGUAGGUGGAUUGUUAAGUCAGUUGUGAAAGUUUGCGGCUCAACCGUAAAAUUGCAGUUGAAACUGGCAGUCUUGAGUACAGUAGAGGUGGGCGGAAUGCGUGGUGUAGCGGUGAAAUGCUUAGAUAUCACGAAGAACUCCGAUUGCGAAGGCAGUUCACUGGACUGCAACUGACACUGAGGCUCGAAAGUGUGGGUAUCAAACAGGAUAAGAUACCCGGGUAGUC
This 460-nucleotide ribosomal RNA is filed under the name uncultured bacterium. RNAcentral's name for it is "partial 16S ribosomal RNA". It matches the Rfam family "Bacterial small subunit ribosomal RNA", at positions 338 to 795 of the family's 1533-position model. The record is from RNAcentral.